GCGUCAUUGGUUUAGUGGUAUAAUGGCGGGUUGCCAUCCUGUCGACACGGGUUCGAUUCCCGUAUGACGCA
Vittaforma corneae ATCC 50505 is the source of this 71-nucleotide transfer RNA. It matches the Rfam family "tRNA". Rfam says of the family: Transfer RNA (tRNA) molecules are approximately 80 nucleotides in length. Their secondary structure includes four short double-helical elements and three loops (D, anti-codon, and T loops). Lineage: Eukaryota; Fungi; Microsporidia; Nosematidae. The record is from Rfam.